GGUGCGGCGGCUAUAAUGCAGUCGAGCGGACAGAAGGGAGCUUGCUCCCGGAUGUUAGCGGCGGACGGGUGAGUAACACGUGGGUAACCUGCCUGUAAGACUGGGAUAACUCCGGGAAACCGGAGCUAAUACCGGAUAGUUCCUUGAACCGCAUGGUUCAAGGAUGAAAGACGGUUUCGGCUGUCACUUACAGAUGGACCCGCGGCGCAUUAGCUAGUUGGUGGGGUAAUGGCUCACCAAGGCGACGAUGCGUAGCCGACCUGAGAGGGUGAUCGGCCACACUGGGACUGAGACACGGCCCAGACUCCUACGGGAGGCAGCAGUAGGGAAUCUUCCGCAAUGGACGAAAGUCUGACGGAGCAACGCCGCGUGAGUGAUGAAGGUUUUCGGAUCGUAAAGCUCUGUUGUUAGGGAAGAACAAGUGCGAGAGUAACUGCUCGCACCUUGACGGUACCUAACCAGAAAGCCACGGCUAACUACGUGCCAGCAGCCGCGGUAAUACGUAGGUGGCAAGCGUUGUCCGGAAUUAUUGGGCGUAAAGGGCUCGCAGGCGGUUUCUUAAGUCUGAUGUGAAAGCCCCCGGCUCAACCGGGGAGGGUCAUUGGAAACUGGGAAACUUGAGUGCAGAAGAGGAGAGUGGAAUUCCACGUGUAGCGGUGAAAUGCGUAGAGAUGUGGAGGAACACCAGUGGCGAAGGCGACUCUCUGGUCUGUAACUGACGCUGAGGAGCGAAAGCGUGGGGAGCGAACAGGAUUAGAUACCCUGGUAGUCCACGCCGUAAACGAUGAGUGCUAAGUGUUAGGGGGUUUCCGCCCCUUAGUGCUGCAGCUAACGCAUUAAGCACUCCGCCUGGGGAGUACGGUCGCAAGACUGAAACUCAAAGGAAUUGACGGGGGCCC
Molecule: ribosomal RNA, 899 nt
Filed under: Bacillus pumilus
Lineage: Bacteria; Bacillati; Bacillota; Bacilli; Caryophanales; Bacillaceae
Description: bacterial SSU rRNA
Rfam family: Bacterial small subunit ribosomal RNA
Source: RNAcentral